UUCGGGGGUACACGAGUGGCGCACGGGUGAGUAACGCGUAUGCAACCUGCCCUGUACAGGGGGAUAGCCCGGAGAAAUCCGGAUUAAUACCCCAUAGUUUUUAUGAGUCGCAUGGCUUAUAAAAUAAAGUUUCGGCGGUACAGGAUGGGCAUGCGUGGCAUUAGCUAGUUGGUAAGGUAACGGCUUACCAAGGCGACGAUGCCUAGGGGUUCUGAGAGGAUGAUCCCCCACACUGGGACUGAGACACGGCCCAGACUCCUACGGGAGGCAGCAGUGAGGAAUAUUGGUCAAUGGGCGAGAGCCUGAACCAGCCAUCCCGCGUGCAGGAUGACGGCCCUACGGGUUGUAAACUGCUUUUAUGUACCAAGAAUGUGUUCUACGUGUAGGAUUUUGACGGUAGUACAUGAAUAAGCAUCGGCUAACUCCGUGCCAGCAGCCGCGGUAAUACGGAGGAUGCAAGCGUUAUCCGGAUUCAUUGGGUUUAAAGGGUGCGUAGGCGGCUAUAUAAGUCAGUGGUGAAAUGCUGCAGCUCAACUGUAGAACUGCCAUUGAAACUGUAUAGCUUGAGUGCGCCUGAGGUAGGCGGAAUGAGUAGUGUAGCGGUGAAAUGCUUAGAUAUUACUCAGAACACCGAUUGCGAAGGCAGCUUACUAAAGCGUAACUGACGCUGAUGCACGAAAGCGUGGGGAGCGAACAGGAUUAGAUACCCUGGUAGUCCACGCCGUAAACGAUGAUAACUCGCUGUUGGCGAUACACAGUCAGCGGCUUAGCGAAAGCAUUAAGUUAUCCACCUGGGGGAGUACGAUCGCAAGGUUGAAACUCAAAGGAAUUGACGGGGGGCCCGCACAAGCGGAGGAACAUGUGGUUUAAUUCGAUGAUACGCGAGGAACCUU
RNAcentral lists this ribosomal RNA (893 nucleotides) under Prolixibacter bellariivorans. Its description in RNAcentral is "bacterial SSU rRNA". It matches the Rfam family "Bacterial small subunit ribosomal RNA", at positions 79 to 972 of the family's 1533-position model. The record is from RNAcentral. Lineage: Bacteria; Pseudomonadati; Bacteroidota; Bacteroidia; Marinilabiliales; Prolixibacteraceae.